GCGCGCCGUGCGUAGCGGUCAACGCUGCCGUUCCGUUCGUCGUGCUAUACAAAACGGUGCGGCCGGCAACGGCGUCUGGCGUGUAGUCGAGCGGUGAGUUGCCCAGAUCGAAUCCCUCCGGCCGUACCA
RNAcentral lists this transfer RNA (129 nucleotides) under Gemmatimonas sp. RNAcentral's name for it is "tRNA-OTHER". The record is from RNAcentral. Lineage: Bacteria; Pseudomonadati; Gemmatimonadota; Gemmatimonadia; Gemmatimonadales; Gemmatimonadaceae.